Molecule: ribosomal RNA, 253 nt
Filed under: uncultured bacterium
Lineage: Bacteria
Description: partial 16S ribosomal RNA
Rfam family: Bacterial small subunit ribosomal RNA
Source: RNAcentral
UACGUAGGGUGCGAGCGUUGUCCGGAAUUACUGGGCGUAAAGAGCUCGUAGGUGGUUUGUCGCGUUGUUCGUGAAAACUCACAGCUUAACUGUGGGCGUGCGGGCGAUACGGGCAGACUGGAGUACUGCAGGGGAGACUGGAAUUCCUGGUGUAGCGGUGGAAUGCGCAGAUAUCAGGAGGAACACCGGUGGCGAAGGCGGGUCUCUGGGCAGUAACUGACGCUGAGGAGCGAAAGCGUGGGGAGCAAACAGG